RNAcentral lists this transfer RNA (32 nucleotides) under Coregonus sardinella (least cisco). Its description in RNAcentral is "partial tRNA-Gln". Lineage: Eukaryota; Metazoa; Chordata; Actinopteri; Salmoniformes; Salmonidae. The record is from RNAcentral.
CUUGAGGAUGGGUUCGAUCCCCUUCUCUCUAG